Long non-coding RNA from Columba livia (rock pigeon), 3871 nucleotides. RefSeq lists it as uncharacterized. NCBI's taxonomy places the organism in Eukaryota, Metazoa, Chordata, Aves, Columbiformes, Columbidae. The record is from RefSeq and is a predicted model, not a curated record. The transcript is spliced from 2 exons.
UCUGUGCAAACGGGCCCGAGCCCCGCGUGGGGCCAGGGGCAGUGCAGUGAUGCUGGCGCUUGGGGAAGGUGCUGCCUGUGUGAUAGUGGCCUCUGGCAACACUGGUCCUGGCUACCCAGGACCCAAAGCUCCGGGGGAAGUCAAUUAGGAACAUCUGCACAGACAAAGUCCAGGGCCCAGCACUGGUCUCUUCAACAAUGGUUCCCACUGCAAUUUGCAUGUAUAAGAAUAUUGCCAUGGCAGCAGAAAUUUGCAUAUUAAUAGAAGCUAGUCUUAAUUGUUGAGCUGCUCCUAAUGUCUGGGAGCAGAAAGGAGCCUGCUGUGUUUUACCAAGCUGCAACUGCCGCUGCCAGGGGCCUUGCCUUCCCAGCCAAGUUCCUCAAAGCUCUCCAUGCUCCUCCCUCUCCAGCCCCAGUCCCGCAUGGAAUCCCGUGAGAUCUGCAGUUGCCCACAGCAUCAAUCUAGGAGUCAAAGCCCAGGCUCCCAUCCUGCCUAUGGGAGCCAUCUGCAUGUGCACCAUCGAUGCUGUACGUACCUCCUGCACUCCCAGGAUCACCUGCGUUUCCCUCUGGGCACCCCAAGGCCCAGCCCUGCUGACUGUGCUGAAGUGGGUACAAGCCCUUGCGGAAUCGGCAGAAGUGGCAUGGCUGGUACCAAACAAAAUGGUCCAGGGGCUCACCGGGGAAAGACUUGCAUGGCUGUCCAUUCCCGAGCCUCUGCCGAGGAUCCUCCCCGAGGAGACGCUCCGCAGGUUCCAGCCCAGCCUGGCUCCCUCCUUCCCGGCGCUGAGCUGCGGCCCGGCCUUCGCCACUGGAUGGCACACGAACCCCGGCGGAGGAGCCCGGGUGGUCCCGGGUUGCUGCGCAAACCCCCGGCUGCUCCGGGGAGGUGCUGGGGGAUUCCGGGAGGUGCUGCGAGGUGCUGGAGGAUGCCGGGGUGUGCUGGGAGGUGCUGGGGGAUGCUAGAGAUGCCUUGGGGGGUGCUGGGAGGUGUUGGGAGGUGCUGGGGGAUGCUGGGGAUGCCGGGAGGUGCUGAGAGGUAUCGGGAGUCGUUGGGGGGUCCCGCGAGGUGCCAGGGGAUGCCGGGGGUUCCUGGCAGGUGCUGGAGGAUGCUGGGGGUCCCGGGAGGUGCCGGGAGUUGCUAGGGGGUCCCGGGAGGUGCUGGGGUGUCCCAGGAGGUGCUGGGCUCCCAGCCCCGCAGUUUUGCUCCCUCCUCGCAGCCUUUGGGAGCAUCGGCGCUCGGUCGGAGCGGGACUCUGCCCUUGGCUGGGUACCACCUGCCGCACCUCCGGCUGCGUGCCCGCUGCUCCUCGGGAGUACACAGGGCUCUUCCCACUCAGCACUCCAUCAGGAUAAGAGCAAGCUCACCUCACUGUUCCUCGCAGGCUGGAAAAUCAGGGAGGUCUUUAAACCUGCUGGCCUCGACAAGCACAGGCUGCAACGAGCUCUUUUAUUUAAUAUUAUCCUUCUCGCCAAUGACUGCGGAGGAAGGCAGAGGGUAUCGGUCUGGCCGAUAACUGACAAUAAAAACCCCUCUCUCCCCUGACUCCCUGACCAGCCCCUUCUCCCACAUCUGCUCUUGUCCUCUGCUCAGCCCCCUUCCUCCUGCUCCAGGGGCUCCUCACCAGCACAGAGGUACCUCUGCAUCCCUCCCCUCACUGGGAUGGCUCCCAGCAGCACGCAGGCCAUGCAGGGUGGCCCCAUGCUGCGGGAUGCCCAAUGUUGCACUGCUGGGACGGGGCAGCACCGCACUGCCCAGGCUGCAGCUCCCAGCUGCAGUCAGGCUGCCCUGGCUUCACCCUGGUGCUGCCACCUCGUCGGCUGUGCCGCAGGUCCCUGGGUGCCCUGGGUCUCUGGGUGUCCUGGCUGUGCCUGGGAAGGUGAGCAGGUGGCCAGGGGAAGGGGCAGGGAGUCUCUCUGCUGCCCCUGGCCCCAUUGUUCUCCCCUGUCAACAACAGCUGGGAGAGGAAAUGGGGGCUAGGGGCAUGCCAAGACACCCACUGCUAAAGAGAAGAUAAGGAGGGAGGGGGCAUUUACUGGUUUUCCAGGGGUGGCGGAUGCAGCAGUGUCCCCUGCAGCGCAGGACAGGAGGGCGUUGUGUCCCCAGCCAGCCUGCCAUGCUGUCACACAGGCAUCCGAUAGUGACUGGGGAUCCGUGGGGUGGUCAGGCAGUGAUUUAUUCAGGACAGCGUGAAGACCAAAUACUGUGAUAAACUCUACAAUAAAAUAAAGCUGUAAUUUUACAACCUUUAAGCUAUAUUUAAACUAAAUGGAAAUUAAACUUUUUAAAAGUCUGAUUUUAUUCAGAUUUACGUUUUCAUCAUCAGACUAGAUCAAAGGAUUUCCUGGGCAAGUUUAUUUUAGGAACCUUUUUGGGACGUACACCUGCAAUGUUGCUGUAUUUGGGGCACUCAGACUACAACAGACCAGUCACAGCUUUUCCUUGUUGCCACCCAGCAUUAUUUCUAGUGACAGAAUAGGAAUCGACCUGCGAUCUGCUCUCUGGGGUGGUCAAGUGCCGGAUCCAGGAAAGGAGACUGAUGAUAUUGCAGCAUCUCCGGCUGAUCACCGCAUCCCACUCACCCUGGCUGGGGUGCCCGGUUCAGGGGGAGGUGUCACACGAAAGGCUCUGCAAAGCCACCUUCUGGUCCCUUCACAGUAUCACAGAAUCCCAGGCUGGUUGGGGUUGCAGGAGCUCUGUAGAUCCCCCAGCCCAGUCGUGCUCACGCAGGGUCACCAGAGCAGAUCACACAGGUGGGUCCAGGAGGUUUGAAUGUCUCAGAGGAGGAGACUCCACACCUGCUCUGGGCAGCCUGGGCCAGGCUCUGGCACCUCCCAGCAAAGAAGUUUCUCCUCAUGUUCAGAUGGACCCUCCUGUGUUUCAGUCUGUGCCCGUUGCCCCUCACCCUGGCGUUGGGCACCACUGAACAGAGUCUGGUCCAUCCUCUGACACCCACCCUGAGAUAUUGAUCCCAUUGAUCAGAUCCAUCUCAGCUUCUCUUCUCCAGCUGAACAGCCCCAGCUCUCUCAGCCUUUCCUCGUCAGAAAGAUGCUCCAGACCCCAUGCUGCUGACAGGUCCUGCUCAGAGGACACAGGGACCGAUCCCGUUCAGGAGCCACAGUUGUGCAGCCAUGCGAGCACCGACACUUCACCGGUCACCCCGCAGCCGUGUCCUGCCCAGCGCCACCGGCACUGCGGCCAUGGGAGCUCGCGCAGCCAGCAUGGGAUCCAAAGAGCAGGCUGACAUCAGAGCCAGGGCAAAGUCUGGUGGGACGCAGAGAGGUGUGAAAGGCAAAGCGCUGUCACGUGUGCCCAAUACACGUGACAGCCGGUGGGGCAUCAACGCCUGCGCUGCCUGCCUGGCACUCUGCUCUGCCCCGGCUGCAUCCCGGCACAGACAGCAGGAUGAGAGCAGGGCCAGGACAGGGAUGUGUCCCACCGUGCGUGUCUCCUGGAGCAGGGAGGAGCAUCCCAUCCUGUGCCUGCCAGGUACCUUGGAUGGACUGUGCUGCAGCUGCACCGGACAGUGUGUCCCCAGAGCAUCCCAGUCCCCAGGCGCUGCGCUGGGAUGACCACACCAGCCUGGGCUGGUGGCCUUCUGCUUAUGGUGGCCUUCUGUUCAUGGUGGCCUUCUGCUGGUGGUGGCCUUCUGCCGGCAGGGUGCAGGGACAAGCGGGUGCGUGUGAGGGUGCUGCACACCCCAGCCAGGGCAUCGCCUUUCAUGGGGCUUUGUCCACACCAUCAUUAAUAAUAUCAAGGUGUUCUGCCAAGUUCUUUCCAGUAAACCUGUGACUUCAUUCAAAGUGACAGGGAACCUGAUUUAUUAUACUAAUGAGCUGGCGAUAAAUAAACAUGACCUGAGAGAAUCCCA